AGUAAAAGCUGGCAGAUGGCUGUAUCAUUAGAAUGUGGCCAGAGCCUUCUGAGAUGAGUUUUGGAAUUUUUAUCAAAGUGGGAAUUAGGUUCAGGAUAUACCAGUGGCACACAGCACACUGUGGGAGUGUAAAAUAAGAGGAAAUAGUUCACAACGAGUCAUCUUUUGGUUGGAUGAUUCAGGGGUCUGCUGUUGGUGGUCAAAAAGACACGUGGCUGACUACAGAGUCUUUGUAUGCUAUUCAGAAUGCAAUCUGUCUCUAAAAAUUAAUUCCACCAUUCUGAUUCUUGUCCAGUGAAUCAUUUCCAGAAAUGAAUAGCUGCAGUUGCUGGAAUGGAUAUUGUGAAAUUCCCUUCAUUUACAAUGGACGGGUUUUGAAAUGAUGAUUUAUCGGGCAAAUUUUUUCAGGAUUAGAAUUAAAAGUACUUUAAAAUAAGUAUAUAUGUCCUUGUGUAUUUUAAUAAGAGAGAUAGUAAAAGCCUCCCAGUUUCCGAACGAUGAAGGACCAUCUGAAAGAGCUAGUUCUUGGAGUAGUAGAUCUGUUGGCACUGGCUGGUGAUUUCCUGUGCAUUUCCUGCAAGAAAUGUUCUGUGAUUCGAAACAUGAGACUGUGAGCUAAGACAACUGGAAGCAGUGGACAUGGUGAAUAAGGAGGAUUUUCCUGAAUGUAUCUUUAACUAUUCAGAAGACAUAUGUGAGCAUGUGAACGUGGCUAGCAGAAGAAAGGUAGCCCUAGUGCAUGUUGCAUUCUGGCUUUGUUUUGUGCCUGAGAGGAGUUGAAUUCCUGAGCACUGGAGAAAAUCUAACCAUAUUUGCGAUGGCUCUGCUCAUGACAGUACAGUGGGGCAGGUGACUGCCAAGAAGGAACUGGGAGGCUCUGACUUUUCCAAGGCUCAAGAUUAUGCAAUGAAGAAGAAUAUUUUAGAAGCUAACGAGAGAGGUCAGAACAGCGUGGUCAGAAGUCUCUGGACUUUGGAAAUGGUUCUCCUGUUUGUAUCUUCUCCAUUCUCCAAAGAUCUGAGUCACCGCACAGGAUACAUCUGCCCUCUGGAGGUUGGCUCAGAAGAAAGAGAACCAAAUUUUCAAAGGGACCUCAGCUUGGUCUCUGAAAUUGUGGGUACAGUGCCAGGUGUCUGGGUUCUUGUGCUUACAAAAAAACAGCACUGUGAGAACAAACUGCUUUCUUGUGGGCAAAAACUCAGGGCUGAGACUUGUGCCUGCAUUCUUAGAGGCUGCUGUUGAAAAUGUGGCUUUUCAAAGAGAUACUUUCAUGGUUCAAAAAAAUCUUGAUUCCCAGAUAUCAAGAGGGGAAAGCUACCUAUCCCACUGUAAAGGCACAGAGGACCCUGACAAAAAUGGAACCGCACAGUUCCACUGUGCAGGUGGUGAGGGAGGAUGCUGGGAACUUACACAAAGAAGAGGAACAAAGCUGUGCCCCAGCCUCCAGGAAACUUGUGGGCAGGACGGAUCCUCUGGACGUUGUUUCCUACAGAGGGGCAUGCUUUAGCAGCAGAGGGUAUUGCUGUACUGAGGGUGCAGUGGUAUCCACAGAGCACUGCCCGUGGGUAGAGGGCAGAUUCUUUCUUGUCCUACACAUCUCCACAGAUCUCCCCAGUGCACCCAGCUACUCAGGCUGGUGGCUUUGUAAAGUAUUCUGCAUGAAGACCACAGGUAUACCUAGAAUUGCAGGACAGCAGCCAGCACAGCACAGUCCACAGCCCAGGUGAGCUCUUCACGUCUGAUUUUGAAUGCACACAUUUCACUCAGGAAGAUCUGGCUCUCGAUUAAAAAAACAACUCAAACCACCCUCCAUCAAAAUCAAUGACUGCAAGAAUCAGGGGGUAGCCGUGUUAGUCUGUAUCCACAAGAACAACAAAAUGCAUCUGAAGAAGUGUUUUUUUACUCUGGAAAGCUUAUGCCCAAAUAAAUCUGUUAGUCUGUAAGGUGCCUCCAGACUCCUUGUUGUUUUAAUGACUGCAAGAGCAUAUCAGAGAAUUGAGCAACAUGUGAAGGACAUGUUGUUUCCUUUAGGGUACUGACUAAAGGUUACGUCACUUGGAUACUUUGGAUGUUUGUGAGCACUACAGGACUUGGAAAGGGAAAGCAAAAAGGAAAAACACUGGGGAGGUGAACAAUUUGUUUUGUUUUAUGACUCUCUUAGUAGUUUAAUGAGGGAACGAUUACUCAUGCCCUGUCACUGCGGAUCUAGAAUAUUCCGCUGGGCUUAAAAACUGGCAAGAAAAAGUAGUUUCCUAAAAAACAAUGAAUUACCCAAAGGCCAUUACUCAGGAGUCCCUGGUGACUAGGAAGGGACAAAGUCUGACUUGUGCAAGAGUCAGGAUCUGUUUUAAAUACCCCCCCCCCGUACCCCCACUGCUCCCAUGACAGCCCUUUUCGGCAUCUUGGAUUUCAGGGGAAAUGAUUGAUUGGGCCAGCACCUUCUACCAAAUCCCUUCUCCCUGUUUCCCUCAAAAAUGAUAUGAGAGAGUGGGUGAGCCAGACAUUUCCUGAAGAGGUAGGAUCUGAGGACAAGUCUCCCACCCACGAAAGAUAAAACAAGAUAAAGCAUUUGGGGAGCUUAUGCCACAGGGUGGGUGAGAGACGGGGGGGACUCCAAGGCAAGAGAGAGAGAAGGGGUCAGAAAGAUUCAGUUCAAUUUUGGUGUAAAGAUUUGUUGGGGGAGGAAGGGCAAUGUUUUUUUUAUUCAGCUGGUUCGCACAUCUUUAAACCUACCCUGAGCUGCAUGACCCGCAUUUUAAACUUUCCACUGCUGCUUGAGCGUGCAGGUUCUUUUAGAAGUUUGCAACAAUGUAUCCUUUGCACUUGUAAUUCACAUCUGGUACACUAUGUCCACCUCUGUGCAGCAUACACACAACUUCCCUCUAUGCUGGAAGCCUGUUGCAAGUUUUUUGGGACUGGAAAACAGAUAUGCUGCCGUUACGUGUUGGAGCUUUACCGUGGAAUGUAAACAGAGGGCUUCUGUAAUACACAAACACAAACUAGGUGCAUUUCAUACCCAAAUCCCAAACAUUAUUACAGUAGAACCUCAGAGUUACGAACACCUCAGGAAUGGAAGUUGUUCGCAACUCUGAAACGUUCGUAACUCUGAACAAAUCGUUAUGGUUGUUCUUUCAAAAGUUUACCACUGAACAUUGGCUUAAAACAGCUUUGGAACUUUAUUAUGCAGAAGAAAGAUGCUGCUUUCAACCAUCUUAAUUUAAAUGAAACAAGCACAGAAAGUCUCCUGGCCUUGUCAAAUCUUUUUUUUAAACUUUCCCUUUAUUUUUUUUUUAAAAAGAGGACUUGUGGCACCUUAGAGACUAACCAAUUUAUUUGAGCAUAAGCUUUCGUGAGCUACAGCUCACUUCAUCGGAUGCAUUCCUUGAGAGUGUGUGGCACAAGCUGUCAGCAUAGUCUGUGUGGUAUGAAGAUUGUAAUGGAUUUUUUACGUGCGAUGAAGUGAGCUGUAGCCCACGAAAGCUUAUGCUCAAAUAAAUUUGUUAGUCUUUAAGGUGCCACAAGUCCUCCUUUUCUUUUUGCGGAUACAGACUAACACAGCUGCUGCUCUGAAACCUUUAUUUUUUAGUAAUUUAUGUUUAACACAGUACUGUACUGUAUUUGCUUUUCUUUUCUUUUUUUUCUUUUGUCUUUGCUGCUGCCUAACUGUAUACUUCUGAUUCCAAAUGAGCUGUGUGGUUGACUGGUCAGUUUGUAACUCUACUGUUCUACUGUACUACCAUGCUGGUAUUAGUUAUUGGGUUUCUUUUGCCUGCAGUGCAGAUCACCCAGGAGAGGAUGGGAAAAAAUGUGUCCAGCAUAAUACACAUCAAAAGUUUGAUAUAAUCAUUAAAAACUGAAAUUAACAAGGCACUCUAAGGGUGUUAUUGCUGUGUACAAUAUGUCCUGAAUUUACCCUACUAAAACUUUGUUCUAUUUCCAUGCUGUAUAGCCUGAAUCCUUUUUCCCUCUACCAUGUAAAUUACAGAAAUUACCUUUGGCAUUGUUAAAAUCAUUCUUUUUUUUUCUUUCUCAGCUUCAGUCCAGGAAGUUAUCAGUUUUUCAGGGAAAUCCAAGGGUAACGCUGCAAAGCUUCUGGCUUUUAAACUUAUGUCUGAGAGGUGCACAGCUGUGCCACUUGUGCCCCUUGAGUUUGGAAUUCACCCUCAUCCCGUAAAUUUAUGGUGCUGAUGUGGUUUUGAAUUUCUGCUUUCAAAAGCACUGAUGUUAGCUUAUGUCUUUGUGUUGGAUCUUUGCCCUUGGAUGUAGGACCCAAUGCCUGAGACAAAAAUACGGCAUUCUUGCUACAUACACUAUAAAAAGUGUUGAAUAUAAAGCGUGGAGUUUGAACUGGACCUGCCAUGGAUUGAUAAAGGUAUUUUGACAGUAGGAGUGAUGUGAACAGCAUCACUGAUUAUGCUGGAUCUAAAAAACUAAGAGGGAGACACUAGAAAAAGGAAGCAGUGCAUGUCGUGGUCAGUGCGGUGAACUGGGUAUCAGAACUUAUGAGUUUUAUUUCUGUCUGUGCUACUGUCUCACUUUUGGUUCAUUGGGCAGUAUAGUUAAGGUGUGGCUGGGCACCUAGUGUUGUAAUUGAAAUAACUGCAAGUUAUUAGCACCUCUGAAAAUGAGCACCUUAUCCUCUCUGGGGCAAAUAUUUACUUACCCCACACAUGGGCUGGGAGGCUUGAUUCAUUAAUGUCUGUAAAGUGCUUUGAGAUCCUCAACUGGACUGUGCUAUAUAUGUGCAAAGUAUUUUAUUAUUAUUUAUGUAUAAUUAUAUAAUUAAAUAUGUAAAUUAACUGUAUUAAAUAUCUACCUCAGAAGAGGUAGUUAAUGUUUGUGAGGUGCUUAGAGAUCUUUGGAAUAAGGGGUGUAAUUCAAAUAGAAAGAAAGUGAUGGUUACGAUGAGGCUUUCAUUACAGGAGAAGCCGAGGCAGUGCAGUGUAUAUAGCAUACUGCAAUUAAGAUCCCAAACUGUACACUAGUUGCAAGACAUCCUAUGAUCCUUUAUUCUUGAUAAGUAUAUCUCCCAACCCCUCACCGCCUCCUUUACCUACACCUUUGGUGUAAUGUACCCUGGCUGGUAGGAAGUGUUGUAGACCAGGGUGAUCUUCUUCCCUGCAGGUCUCACAUGCUGAACUGUACAUUUCUAUCCCAUAAUGUGCUAUCAACAGCCAUAGUUCAUACUGCUAGUUCAAUGUGUCCCAUUUGUUUAUUGUGUCACUAAAACAUUUUGGAUCUGAUGUUGCUGUUAAUUGUAAGAACAUUUGCAAAUCUGCCUUAGAUACAGUUAAACCUGCUCACAUGAGUAACUGAUGCAAGGCCAGGCAUAUAAUACAAGCCAAGUAUUGCUGUCACUUACACUUGUGCAGUUCCACUGGUUUCAACUGAGAGCAGAAGUUGGCCUGUUACGAUUUGGCCAUGGUCAGCACCCAGUUGCCAUAUGAGGGAAGAACAUCAUUUGCGAAGCCAUGUCUUAAAAAGAUUCCAAGUCAUAAGUCAUCUGUCUGUUUGUCCCUUUUUCUUUUUGCUGUAAAAAAAUUCAUGCCCUAAUAAAUAUUUCAGAUUUAAACUAUAACUUUUCCUGGGUAAAGACAAAUAAUGCUGAAGGGUGGGUAGAAAAACGAGACUGAGUGAAGAGGGACAAACAUCUCUAAAGUAACUUGGUUUAGUAAAAGAACUUGACAUUUAUAUUAUUGUGUUGGUUUUAGGGCUGUGCAAUGCUCCGAGGAAAUUUACGUGUAAAAUAAAUUGUCGUUGUAUUAUUCCAUCUCACACAGUACCUGAGAAACUCCAGAAGGUAGUUACUGGGGCUGGAUUGAAACCAGCAACCUACUACAGAGGUGCAAGACUCCAUAGUCCACGUGUAAAAAGAUAAAUUAGGGAAGGGUUUAUUUCCAAAUUGUUACCAAUAAUGGAGAGAGACAAAUAUGUAUUGAGUGCUUGAUACUAGGCCUGGCCUAGCAGACUGCUCUCCACCAUGUGGAGGACCCCUAGUUUAACACACAUGCUCCAUUUCCCUCGGGCUGGAAUGGGCUAGGAGAGCCCUUCAGGGAGAGAGUGCAUUGUGCUGCAGGUACCGUCUCUGCCCAAGGCUAGAACCUUUCUGACAAGUUGCACAGGCUCCAGGAAUCAAAGUGAUAGUCUGCUAGGCCUAGGCCUGUCAGGUUUGUGAAGAGUGAAAGGGGAAAAUAGUGUGGGGUAAAGAGGAGGGAGAGUCUAGGGCUCUGAAGAAUCUCCCUGUUUUCUUUCUACCAAAACACACAUCCAGAAGGGAGGGGCAAGGGAGAAAGGGACAAUGUCACAAGCUUUCCAACUGCCCAUGGCAUGCUGCGGCAGGCUCUUCUUGUGAGGCCCUUUCACUCAGAAUGCACUGGAAUAUCAAAAAACCCAAUAUCUUCCUUUUUAUUGAAAACAUUCUCUAGAACUCUUAUAUAAUAAACUCUGUUUACGCCAGCUGACAAGUCACCUGAUUGAACUCUGCGGGCUUCUGAUCUCAUUGUAUUUAACACUCAAUACGUUGUCAUCGUUCAGUGUAGCAAUGUUUGCUGAGUCAUGCAGUCAACAAAACUGUU
Molecule: non-coding RNA, 6575 nt
Organism: Caretta caretta (loggerhead turtle)
Lineage: Eukaryota; Metazoa; Chordata; Testudines; Cheloniidae
Source: RefSeq, a predicted model, not a curated record